Mus musculus (house mouse) is the source of this 1108-nucleotide long non-coding RNA. RefSeq annotates it as predicted gene, 30303. The record is from RefSeq and is a predicted model, not a curated record. NCBI's taxonomy places the organism in Eukaryota, Metazoa, Chordata, Mammalia, Rodentia, Muridae. The transcript has 3 exons.
ACAGGGGUUCUCGCAGCGCCCCCCGCGGCCGCGGACCGUAGCGCAGUGGACCUUAGCGUCUCCUUUACCCUAAGACUUUACUAGACAGGCGGUUUGGAACCUGCUCUGAGCAACGACUCGCACAGGGCAUCCCUGAGGGCAGACAGAGCUUACCUGCGUGGACUCCAGGUGUAGAGAGUGCGACUUCCUAGUUGAUGAAGACAGACUUGGAUGGAAAUUUCCAGAAAUGUCCAUUCUUCCCACCCUCCCCACUCCCAGAGCCACUGCUUAGUAAGAAGUUUGGAUUGCUCACUCUCUGUGGCCCCACUAGCUCUUAGAUGGAGAAAACGCCAAUCUGUAAGUAAUAUGGAUCUAUGUGUAAGAUGCUCCUGUUAUUCUCAGAUUAUGAUUCAGGCCUCACAUCCCAGGUAGUGGACAGAGCUGACCAUAGGAUGAGAAUGGUCCGACAGCAAACACAGGAAAUGGAGAUCAUAUUAGUCCAGUGUGACUACUCCCAGGGGUGUGGAAACAAAUGCCUAUUGACCCCAGAUAAAUAACAGACUGAAGAAAAGAAACUUUCACCCAAGUCUAGCUUAGUGAACCAGUGAGUUUAUUUGGGGUUAUUUACAGGAGUAUGGAUGGUUCAGGGGCAGCCCCAUAACCAGAAAGCCCACCACAGCAUGAGUGAGGACUCACCAAAGCUUCUGCACUGGAGCACCUUGCGUGACUGGCAGCUUAGUAGUCAGAGAGCACUUGUUAUGAAUGUAUAAUUUUAGGAAAAGGGGUUUGUGAACUUUGUUUCAAGAGCUUUUAGAGACCUGUAAGUUCUGUUUACUUCCUAAGACUUAACAGAAAGGACUUUAGGGACCCAAGUCCACAGCCCAUUUCAUCAUCGUUGGAACAACUCUUCCAGCGUCCUCAAAAUGAGAACCCCAAACCCAGAGAUCCUAGGAAGUGGGAUAUGAAGCACAAUGUCUUCACAGGAAAGAUGAUGAGAUGGUUUGUAUAAGCUUGGCCCAGGAAGUGGCACUAUUAGAAGUUAUGUUCCUGUUGGAGUAGAUACGGCCUUGUUGGGGUGGGUGUGUCACUGUGGGCAUGGGGUUUCAAACCCUCAUCCUAGCUGCCUGGA